This 497-nucleotide ribosomal RNA is filed under the name uncultured bacterium. RNAcentral's name for it is "partial 16S ribosomal RNA". It matches the Rfam family "Bacterial small subunit ribosomal RNA", at positions 28 to 507 of the family's 1533-position model. The record is from RNAcentral.
GAUGAACGCUGGCGGCGUGCCUAAUACAUGCAAGUCGAGCGAACAGAUAAGGAGCUUGCUCCCUUGACGUUAGCGGCGGACGGGUGAGUAACACGUGGGUAACCUACCUAUAAGACUGGAAUAACUCCGGGAAACCGGGGCUAAUGCCGGAUAACCUUUAGAACCGCAUGGUUCUAAAGUGAAAGAUGGUUUUGCUAUCACUUAUAGAUGGACCCGCGCCGUAUUAGCUAGUUGGUAAGGUAACGGCUUACCAAGGCAACGAUACGUAGCCGACCUGAGAGGGUGAUCGGCGACACUGGAACUGAGCCACGGUCCAGACGCCUACGGGAGGCAGCAGUAGGGAAUCGUACGCAAUGGGCGAAAGCCUGACGGAGCAACGCCGCGUGAGUGAUGAAGGUCUUCGGAUCGUAAAACUCUGUUAUUAGGGAAGAACAAAUGUGUAAGUAACUGUGCACGUCUUGACGGUACCUAAUCAGAAAGCCACGGCUAACUACGUG